GAUGAACGCUAGCGGCAGGCUUAAUACAUGCAAGUCGUGGGGCAGCGCAGUGUAGCAAUACAUGGGCGGCGACCGGCAAACGGGUGCGGAACACGUACGCAACCUACCCAAAACUGGGGAAUAGCCCGGGGAAACCCGGAUUAAUACCUCGUAACAUAAUUGAGUGGCAUCACUUAGUUAUUAUAGCUCCGGCGGUUUUGGAUGGGCGUGCGCCUGAUUAGGUAGUUGGCGGGGUAACGGCCCACCAAGCCUGCGAUCAGUAACUGGUGUGAGAGCACGACCAGUCACACGGGCACUGAGACACGGGCCCGACUCCUACGGGAGGCAGCAGUAAGGAAUAUUGGUCAAUGGACGCAAGUCUGAACCAGCCAUGCCGCGUGAAGGAUGAAGGUCCUCUGGAUUGUAAACUUC
RNAcentral lists this ribosomal RNA (411 nucleotides) under uncultured bacterium. RNAcentral describes it as "bacterial SSU rRNA". It matches the Rfam family "Bacterial small subunit ribosomal RNA", at positions 28 to 433 of the family's 1533-position model. The record is from RNAcentral.